UUCAACACUGUUUCUCAUGGAGUGGUGCCUGGUAAGUCGGCAUACCCAGUGGGUAAGAUUGAGUUGGAGGUAGCUUUUGGAGAUGAGCAUGAUUCCAGGGCCAAGAAAUUAACCUUUGAGGUGGUCAAAAUCAAGAGCCCGUAUCAUGCCCUGUUUGGGCGACCGGCUUAUGCCAAGUUCAUGGCACGGCCCUGUUAUGUUUAUUUACAGCUCAAAAUGCCGGGUCAUAAGGGCACCAUCACAGUGCAUGAGAGCCGGAAGAUAGACUUGGAAUGUGAGGAAGGCAGCGCUGCUUAUGCUGAAUCUGCUCGUGCAACAGAGGAGUUAAAGUUCUAUAAGGAUAACGUUGACCCGGCAGAUAUGACGUCUUUGAAAAAGCCAACUAUGGAGCAUGAGUCAUUGCUAAAGUUUAAGUCGGCGGAUGACACUAAACUUGUUGAUUUUGUUCCAGGUGACUCAUCUAAGCAGUUUAGUAUC
This 477-nucleotide ribosomal RNA is filed under the name Triticum aestivum (bread wheat). RNAcentral's name for it is "partial small subunit ribosomal RNA". Lineage: Eukaryota; Viridiplantae; Streptophyta; Magnoliopsida; Poales; Poaceae. The record is from RNAcentral.